AGCAGUGCCUGUGAGCACAGCGUGCUCCUCAGCCUGGCUGCCUCCCACCCCUGCAGCUGCCCCCUGCAGAGGCUGUGCAUGUCUGCUGCAGCCUGCCCAGGCACGCCGCAUGGGUGCUUUAGCUGGCUCGCAGCGUACUGCGUUAUGCAGAGCCCCCCGGUCCCUCCUGCAGCCACGCUUGCAGGCUCAGGCUGUAAGGACAGCAGCUCUGCUGUUAAGGGGUAGUCUCUGGACCCCCCCCCCCGAAGGCUUUAGGGCCAGACAGACAUUUCCAAUCUCUUUCUGGCUCCCAGGGGUCCCCCUAUUACUCCUGGAAACCUGUAGCAUUGAGUUAAAUUACAUGGAGAGCUCGCGACUAAACAGCUUACAGCAGCAGUACAGCUCCCAACACAACCAUGAGCAAUCUCCUGAACGGAGCGUUCUAACUUCAGGUGAGGAAAAGCAACCGAAGCAGAUGGGCUUGUGAACAGCAGAGGCUUGGCUCUCCCACAGAGCUCCUUGCGGAGUGGAAGGGAGCAGAGUGGUUAGGAAACUGCUGCAGAUCCUGGGGAGUGCAAGGGUCACGGAGGAGAGAGACCUAGGAAAGAUGGUUCCGCAUUGGGAUUUCAGAGAGCUCAGUACGAGGCCUCGUGUUCUCCCUGAGAGCUGGUUUAAGCUAUUCUCACGUAAAGGAUUCAGACAUCCAUUCACAUGCUUCAGAUGCUUGGGAGAGGGGAAGGUAAAGAGUUACAUGGCUGCAAAAUGUGAUUGCUCAAAUUGGUUUGUUCCUUGGUGGAGAAUGUAACUCUCUUCUUUAAAGAUAGUGAACCCUUUCUUUUAACAGUGUCUACACAGUGUCAUUUGCUUUCACUGUUACACUGCUAAAGAUAAAUGCUCUGGUGUUUCGAGAAACUGCUGUGUAUGUGUUUCUAAUUACUUGAUAGCAGGGUACAGGUGGAGAAUGUAAUGAAGGAAAGCAGCUGAAGGAAGAAAAGCCGUUCCUGUGGGUAGGUGAGCAGAACACCUACAAGGCUGUGUUUCGGCUCCCUGCGCUCCCAGAAAGCGCUGGUGUGGCCCCAGCUGCCCAUUGGAGCUGCCCAAGUUAGGAUCCGUUCUGCAGCAGCUCCUCCUGGCAGCAGUACCAAGGCAGCAAGCAGGGCAUUUCGUCCUGCAGCGUAUGUAACCACCAUGGGCGCCCAAGAGGUGGAUGUUUCGGAGAAGGGGGCGUCAUGGGCAUUCUGGUGGAGGGCUGUCAGAGAGGGAGGAGCCAGGCGUAGAGAAAUUGCUGCUUGCCUUUUCCUCCCCAGGAUGCUGAACCCAGCACCCCAAACUGCCCACGGCUGCUCGGGAUUGGUGACAUCGAGAAUGCAACGUGUUGGGCUGUCAGAACGGAACGGGAGCAGCACAGCUUGGCUUCGGGAGCCAAAAAUAGCUCUGUGGAUCUGUCAUGCUUUCACCUUUGAGUCUGCUCUCUGGAAUCAGUAUUUGUCUGCUUCUGCCAAACCCCAAAAGCUGCAUCUCAUUAAAACCCCUGAUUAUUCAGGAAGAGUGAAGUUUGAUUCACAAGGAUAACGCUCUUUGAAGGAGUUCUGGGUCAUCACUCUAAGCUGUUUGAGUUCUACCUCUUCCUAGUAAGAAGGGCUUCAGCUAUCUCAGCUCUGCUCCUCCAGCAUCCCUCCAUUUCAUAGAUUAUGUUGUGGAAAUAAACACAUUUGGCAAGACUGGUGAGCAGGGAAUGAGGAGAGCGUGAUGCUGGUGCCCUGAUGUGGAAGACAGCUGUGGUUUGCUCACGUGCUGCUGCGGUGUCACCCACCCUCCCCAGGCCCAGGAAGUGCUCGGAAGGGGGAUUUUGUCCAUGCUGAUGGCUGCGUUGGCAUUCCCGUGUUCCUGAUGUCAUCGCAUGCAUUACCCUUUCCCUAAAGGACUCCGCAGGUGCAGGUGAUGAGCCCCCUGAGCAGUGGAUGGCUUCCAGAGCUGGGAGAGACAGCAGCGGGAAGCCACCGGGAAGCAUGCCUUAGCCUCUUGUGUGAGUGCAGGGGGUACGGGCUGCGCAUGGGGAGAAGUGAGGCAGGGAGCAACUGUGCCAAGAACAGGGGAAAUGAAGGAUUCCAGCCAUAUGACCCAAGACGUCAGCUGUACCUAUCAGGGAACCAAAACCCAAAGUGACAGGGUUGUGCGAGUGACCUGCCAUGCUGGGCAGAGGGCAGGUUUAACUGGUAUCUGUAAAGUGUGCUGGGAUAACCAGGAGCAAUGGGCUGUAUAUUUUCCAGGCACCCUCUGUUGCUGGUCUGAGAUUGUUUCCUUGAUUCCCCAAGCCCAGAGGCAAUGACUGUUUCCAUGUUCUGUCAAUUCUCUUCCUCUUGUUUUUAGCCUUUCUCCUCUCCGUGUUUUUCCUCUCCGUUUGGAAUUGCUCUCACACCACUGCAGUCCCCUUUCCCUGCCUUGGCUGGCACCAGCACCAGGAGCAAAUGGGGUAGUGUUUACACAGCAGUGCAGCUGCUGGACUCAGGAGAUGUGAAGUGUGGACCUGUUGUGCUCCCUUUGGUGACUCACACCACCUCUCCCUGCUUCUGACCUCCUUCAGCCUUCCUGCCAGGCUGACCUUCUCUGGGGAAAGGACUUGCUUUUAGUGUGUGAUCCUACCAUGUCUAAUACAAUAGGACCCAACCUCAGCUGUAGAGGAGGCUGAUCCUGUUCACACGAGAGGGCAUGGACCAUCUGCCUCUUCUCUUACUGGAUAAGCAACAAAGUCUUGCAGCCAAAGAUGGGUUACAGUGCCCCAGUGAGAAGUGGGACACUGGAAAAGCAACGGCAUUGAAGGUGGGGAAGAGGAGUGGAGACUCCAUUAUCAGUUUGUCUCCAGUAAUGGUCUCGUCUGAGAACAAAGGCAAUAUGACAGCCACCAAAACAGAGAAAAAUGCCAAACUAAGUGCCACUGAUAACAAUGUGAAUGCCUGUGGCACAGUGUCAUCCCAUGACAGGCUUCCAGAGAUGAAAUCUCACACUGGUUUAAUGGAUGGAAAAAUCCAGUUGACUGCAAUAACAUCAGGCUUUCCCCUUGGGGUUACCUGCAUUUCUCUCCUGAAUGCCCAGACAGCCAUAGCCCACGUUGUUAUGCACAUGCUGAUAACAAUUAAAUUAUUCUUUUCCCUUCAAGUGUGGAUUGGAUGCAGUAAUCCCUGCCUUUUGGAUUCUAGGUUCCCUCUAUCUACAUCUGAAAUCCCUAAAUAAACAAACACUGGAUUAAACCUCAACAGCUCCCUCUGCUCAGCAACUGAAGCCUUUAAAAGCAUUUCACACCAACUGCUCUGCUCUUGUUUCAGACUCUCUUCACCACUGACUCAAGCCAAGGAGCUCCUUCUUGCUCUCAAACUUGCCAGGGAACUAACCUUAGUUAUUGGAAGGUCUGGCUCCAUCUAUGACCCUCCCUGAAUCUGUU
Pezoporus occidentalis (night parrot) is the source of this 3418-nucleotide long non-coding RNA. RefSeq lists it as uncharacterized. The transcript is spliced from 11 exons. Lineage: Eukaryota; Metazoa; Chordata; Aves; Psittaciformes; Psittacidae. The record is from RefSeq and is a predicted model, not a curated record.